RNAcentral lists this long non-coding RNA (461 nucleotides) under Cercocebus atys (sooty mangabey). Its description in RNAcentral is "lncRNA (ENSCATG00000045405.1)". Lineage: Eukaryota; Metazoa; Chordata; Mammalia; Primates; Cercopithecidae. The record is from RNAcentral.
GGGAGCCCGAGCUCCACCGCCUGCAGGCACACAGUUGGCCUGGCCCAGUACUGCGCGUCCGAACUGCACCCAAGGGGCAACACCUGUGGCAGCACCUUGCGCUAGGAACUUCAGAAAAAGCGCAACAGGAAAGAUUCCCAACCCCCCAGCAACGUCGCCGAGAACCUACUGCACGAGGCCACUCCAUAGCCCAUGUUUCCUGUACUGGGGGGUUUGGCAGCACUGCCUAGGGUCUGUUUAAGCUCUUGGCCUUCACAGAGAGCCAGGCACCCUGAAUACAGAGCAUUCUACCCACGGGACCAGAUGGUGACAGGGGAGGAAAGGCUGUCACAGGGCCUUGCAGUCAGGUGGACAAAUAGCAGCUGUGGACACAAACAUCUUCUGGUAAAACACUCUCAAAAGUUGCUGCAGUAAGAGUUAAAUGUUAAUGCUGAGUUGCGUUUUUUGUUUUGAAAGUUUUG